AAAAGUAGGAAGCUCCACAAAUUCUCAUNCUGUGCAGAUUGAUGAUGCAUCAAACAAUUUGUCUCCAUCAAUUUUAAGGUGCUUAUAAUCAUCUAUUUCUUCCACCUUGCUUUGUGAUUAUUUACAAGUUGUAAACUUUAUUUUAGUCUGUCACAUGUCUAUUUUACUUAAAUUAUUUUAUUUUCUGAGUUUCUGCUUUUAUUUCAUAUAUAUAUUUACUGGUGUUUUGGAAGACAACUGUACAUCAAGAACAUCUGCUAUAUGCCUUGAAGACUAUUGUGUUGGUGAGAAGAUCAGGAUUNUUUCUUUGCUGUCACAGUAAGUGUUCCCAUGACAUUUUUUUUAAAAUACAGUAUAUUAUUCUAUUGGUUUAUAGACCUUCAAUGUAUGAUUAUGUACUAGGGCAUUGUUGGUGGAAUUUCUGUCCUCUUGUCGACCACAAAUCUCUCCGCUAAAUUGACAAAAGUGGAAAGUAAGGUAAGCUUCGUUAGGAAAGUACAGUUAGGAAAGUACAGUCAGAAAUGUUGGAAUUUAAUUAGUAUUUUUAUAUUUUCUUCGAUAAUAUAUGUCAUUCCUAUGUCUCUAAAGUUAAAUCAUUUAUGUUAUCGGACUAUUGUCACAAAAUAUUUUAUUUUCAGUUAUACAAUAUUUUUUCAAUUUGGUGGUGUCAACAGUGGGUACUUUGUCUCACGAGGUUANUUGCAUGCUAUGUAAGUGGAUGAUUGCUCAACUUCUUAUGGUGCUUGAUUACUUGCAUGCUAAUCAUAUUCUUCAUCGUGAUGUCAAGGUUAGCUAAACAAAUCNUGUUAUGUUACCUAGUUUCAACAUGCUUUUUNUGUUCUAUGGAUUGAAUUUUGUCUCUUUGUCUUUUGUCAUGACUUUCUUAAUUGAUUAUCAGUUACAUGGCUAUCCAUAAUUACAUAUAUCUGUCCAAAAGCUCGAAAACUACUUGCAUUUACUAUUUUAUAUAUUUUUGGCAAACAUUGUUCUUUUAUAUAUAUAUAUACACUUGUCGUUUAUUUGUUUCAAACAUGAUAUAGAGGGCCUGAUUAACAAAAUUAACAAGUCCAUAGUGGCUCCAUUGCCAACAAAAUAUUUUGGUGUAUUGUAAGUGUUUGUUCUUUUGUCAUUUAGUUGUGAUGGCUUAUACUUUUAGUUAUUAAAUUGCUUUGCCAUGUCUUAAUGCUGUUAAAUGUGGAACUUUUGUUAUUUCCAUUUUCAUAGCAGAAGUCAGUACUAGAGGGAAAGCUAUUGUUGCUGAAAGGGAGAGCUGAGAAAGUGUAAUUCAAUACAACCUUGGAAACAAUGCAUACCUAGGCAGAGCAUGGAGAAAAAACGAUAAGCUCAUUAUUUUCAUUUCCUUUUAAUUGUAGUCAUAUACUUUUAUUAGUAAUGUACAUAACUUUAAUUAGCAUAGUAAAUAGUAGGAUAGAUAAUAUGCUCUUUUUUCAUAAAAAUAAAAAGAAUUAACUUUGAUCUA
This 1480-nucleotide long non-coding RNA is filed under the name Vigna radiata. RNAcentral's name for it is "long non-coding RNA (VRAD_LNC017484)". Lineage: Eukaryota; Viridiplantae; Streptophyta; Magnoliopsida; Fabales; Fabaceae. The record is from RNAcentral.